RNAcentral lists this transfer RNA (71 nucleotides) under Camelus bactrianus (Bactrian camel). It matches the Rfam family "tRNA". Rfam says of the family: Transfer RNA (tRNA) molecules are approximately 80 nucleotides in length. Their secondary structure includes four short double-helical elements and three loops (D, anti-codon, and T loops). Lineage: Eukaryota; Metazoa; Chordata; Mammalia; Artiodactyla; Camelidae. The record is from Rfam by way of RNAcentral. RNAcentral also lists the same sequence under 2 other names.
GAGGGUAUAGCUCAGUGGUAGAGCAUAUGCUUAGCAUGCACAAGGUCCUGGGUUCAAUCCCCAGAGCCUCU